Molecule: ribosomal RNA, 254 nt
Filed under: uncultured Staphylococcus sp.
Lineage: Bacteria; Bacillati; Bacillota; Bacilli; Caryophanales; Staphylococcaceae
Description: partial 16S ribosomal RNA
Rfam family: Bacterial small subunit ribosomal RNA
Source: RNAcentral
AGUAACACGUGGGUAACCUACCUAUAAGACUGGGAGUAACUUCGGGAAACCGGAAGCUAAUACCUGAUAAUAUUUCAACCGCAUGGUUCGAUAGUGAAAGGUGGUUUUGCUAUCACUUAUAGAUGGACCCGCGCCGUAUUAGCUAGUUGGUAAGGUAACGGCUUACCAAGGCUACGAUACGUAGCCGACCUGAGAGGGUGAUCGGCCACACUGGAACUGAGACACGGUCCAGACUCCUACGGGAGGCAGCAGCC